Molecule: ribosomal RNA, 253 nt
Filed under: uncultured bacterium
Lineage: Bacteria
Description: partial 16S ribosomal RNA
Rfam family: Bacterial small subunit ribosomal RNA
Source: RNAcentral
UACGGAGGGUGCAAGCAUUAAUCGGAUUUAUUGGGCGUAAAGGGCGCGUAGGCGGAAAAGAAAGUCAGAUGUGAAAUCCCGGGGCUCAACCUCGGAACAGCAUUUGAAACUCUUUUUCUAGAGGAUAGGCGGAGAAAAUGGAAUUCCACAAGUAGCGGUGAAAUGCGUAGAUAUGUGGAAGAACACCAGUGGCGAAGGCGGUUUUCUAGCUUAGACCUGACGCUGAGGCGCGAAAGCAAGGGGAUCAAACAGG